CGCGCGCAGCGCCGUCGCUGCGCGGCCGCCCGCGCGCAGCCUCCCUGCUCCAAGCCGCCGUCGCCUGCGCGCAGCGGAGCCACCGCCUGCCUCGCCCUCGGCCGCUGCCUCCUUGCUCGGCCGCCGCCUAGCCCCGCGCACAGCGUCGCCCGCGCGGCCGCCGCUGCGCCGAGGCCUCCAGGUGCGCCGCCGCGAGUUCCCCCACGCCGUGGCCGCCGGAUUCCUCCUCCGCCGCCCAACAGAGAAGGGAGAAGGGUGAACGCAGGGGGGGGGGACGCCUCCAGCUGGAUUUGUCGAUUCCAUUUCGACCAGAUCGAGGCGGCGACGGCCGACGAGGGCAAUCUCGACCUCAGCAGCAACGUGUCAACAUGCUCGCCACCAAGAUCUGCCUCUGAUGCGUAGAACUCCGCCACCACCGUUCAUGAUCUCCUCCUCGGGUUCUCUCUCCCCCCGUUUCCAGGGAAUUGUUCCUCUGCACUAUCUCUUUGGAGUGCACUAACCCUCUGGAGGAUGAGGGAAGGCUGGAAGGACAAGGGACUAAUACGUACUUAUGGCGUUUAGCUGAUUAUAGCCUUUUUGUUAUGUAUAAAUGCUGAUUGUAGCCUUUUUGUUAUGUAUAAAUGUUAUGUACAUGUAAGCUACUCCCUCCUUCCCCAUUUAUAAGGCAUACACGCAUAUCAAGAUUCAAACUUUUCUAUC
Long non-coding RNA from Panicum virgatum (switchgrass), 699 nucleotides. RefSeq lists it as uncharacterized. Lineage: Eukaryota; Viridiplantae; Streptophyta; Magnoliopsida; Poales; Poaceae. The record is from RefSeq and is a predicted model, not a curated record. The transcript is spliced from 3 exons.